GAUGAAGAACGUAGCAAAAUGCGAUAAGUAAUGUGAAUUGCAGAAUUCAGUGAAUCAUCGAAUCUUUGAACGCACGUUGCGCCCGCUGGUAUUCCGGCGGGCAUGCCUGUUCGAGCGUCAUUUCAACCCUCAAACCCCCCGGGUUUGGUGUUGGGGAUCGGCUCUGCCUCACGGCGGUGCCGCCCCCGAAAUACAUUGGCGGUCUCGCUGCAGCCUCCAUUGCGUAGUAGCUAACACCUCGCAACUGGAACGCGGCGCGGCCAUGCCGUAAAACCCCAACUUCUGAAUGUUGACCUCGGAUCAGGUAGGAAUACCCGCUGAACUUAAGCAUAUCAAUAAGCGGAGGA
Molecule: unclassified non-coding RNA, 347 nt
Filed under: soil metagenome
Description: partial contains 5.8S ribosomal RNA, internal transcribed spacer 2, and large subunit ribosomal RNA
Rfam family: 5.8S ribosomal RNA (bases 1-120)
Source: RNAcentral